GGAUGAAGAACGUAGCGAAAUGCGAUACUUGGUGUGAAUUGCAGAAUCCCGUGAACCAUCGAGUCUUUGAACGCAAGUUGCGCCCGAAGCCAUUCGGCCAAGGGCACGUCUGCCUGGGCGUCACGCAUCGCGUCGCCCCCCCCCACUUAUUCCCUACGGGGAUCGGUCGGCGAGGGGCGGAAAAUGGCCUCCCGUGCGCAUCGACGUGCGGCCGGCCCAAAUGCGAUCCCGCGGUGACUCACGUCACGACCAGUGGUGGUUGAACUCUCAACUCGCGUGCUGUCGUGGCGGGUGAUGUGUCGCCGUGUGGGGUUCAAAAGUAGACCCAACGGCACGAGGUGCUCGUGCCUUCGAACGCGACCCCAGGUCAGGCGGGAUCACCCGCUGAGUUUAAGCAUAUCAAUAAGCGGAGGA
Molecule: unclassified non-coding RNA, 414 nt
Filed under: soil metagenome
Description: partial contains 5.8S ribosomal RNA, internal transcribed spacer 2, and large subunit ribosomal RNA
Rfam family: 5.8S ribosomal RNA (bases 2-123)
Source: RNAcentral